UGUUGUUGUAUUCGAUACCACAUUCAACACGAAUCGAUACGACUUGACAUUUGCACAAAUGUUGGGAGUUAAUAACCAUGGUCAGACAAUUGUCUUAGCAUGCGCAUUUUUGAGCAAGGAAACGACUGAGUCGUUUGUUUGGAUGUUUGAGGAGUUUAAGAAAGCCAUGCCAGGUGGGGAACCUAAAACGAUCAUUACAGAUCAAGAUGCGGCAAUGGCCAUAGCGAUUUCAAUAGCCUUCCCGACUACAUUUCAUCGACUUUGCAUAUGGCACAUCACAUCAAAGUUCUCUGUUAAGUUACCACGUGACCCUUAUAAGGAGUAUUGGCGUGAAUUUCAGAAAGCCAUAUGGGAUACUGACAAUAAGGAUGAGUUUGAUGCAAAAUGGAAUAUUGUGGUUACAAAGGCUGGUUUGACUGACCAUUCAUGGCUAAGUUCAAUGUUUGAUUUAAGGGAAUCUUGGGUUCCAGCCUACGCACGACAAUUUUUUGCUGCUGGAAUGUCAAGCAGCCAAAGAGCGGAAGGUUCUCAUGGUUUUUUCAAGCAAUACAUAUCAAGGAGAAAUUCGUUGAUGGAUUUCAUAAUACGAUUUGAGAGGGCACUUUCUCAUCAACGUGAAAAAGAGUUAGUUGCUGAUCACGUAGAUGCAUUUGAAGUGGCUCAAUGUCUUCUACCGAUGCCAAUGAACAAACAAAUGGCUACCUUGUACACAAGGACAAUGUUUCAAAAGUUUGAGCAAGAACUAAUGCAAAGUACAGCAUGUUUCCUAGAGCUCAAAACAGAGGAUGCUUGUAAAGUUGUCUUUAACGUGAGCGAAAGGAAAAAUUGGGAAACAAGAGUGGCAGAAGUCGUAUAUUCAAAGAUUCUGACCACGCAUCGUGUAGCUGCAAAAGAUUUGAAUUUGUUGGAAUUAUUUGCAAGCACAUCCUAGCAUUGUUCAGAAGGGACCAGAUUGAAUAUAUGCCCGAUAAAUAUAUUUUGAAGAGGUGGAAGAAAACUGCGAAAUCUGGAUUGGUGUCAGAUGCAAAUGGCAACGAAAUUAAAGACUGUGCAGAUCCUGGCCUUCUAAUAAAGCGGAGUACAAUGUCUCGACUUGCUUCAGAUGUGGUUGAGGAUGCAUUAAUGAGUGAAGAAGGAUGUGAGCUACUGUCAGAGACUCUAAAAAGUUUGCAAGUGAAGUUGAAGUUGCUGAAGGAUGGACCAAGUAAUAACGAAGUUGGAGGGUCCAGCUCUCAAACACAAUAUAUGAAAGACCCUAAGAGAGUGAGGUGCAAAGGAAGGUCGAAAGGAGUAACGGGAGCAAAGGAAAAGGCAAUGAAGCGAGGGAUUAGACACUGUCAGGAGUGUGGACACAUUGGUCAUGAUAGAAGACAAUGCCCAGCCUUGAACACACCGACAUCACCGUCGAACAAUGACGAAUCAACUCCAAUACAUCGUAGUGACCCAUUAUUCGACGAUUUUGACAAGAUGCACGGACCAACUGAAUGAUUUAUAUUUGUAUUAGACGAAAUGUGGUUGUUAUGAAGAUUAAUGAUCAGGUGAAGUUUUAUAGAUUCAGUUUUUGAAUAUUAUUGUGUUUUUGUUCAUGUCCACCGAUGAGCUCUUACUAUGUCCGCUGGUAAUUGAAAUGAAAAUUUGCUUCGUUUCAUUCUUCCAUGAAAUUUGGAGACAUGUUAAUUUUACGUCUUCUCCCUAUUUAUAAAUUUUCAUAGACAUUUGAUCAAGUAUGAAAUUUGUAGUUAUGUGAAGAAGCAAUGACUUUUACCAUGUAAAAUGGGCAGUUUAGGGUGAAUUAUGUUUUA
RNA transcript from Prunus persica (peach), 1802 nucleotides. RefSeq lists it as uncharacterized. The transcript has 2 exons. The record is from RefSeq and is a predicted model, not a curated record. NCBI's taxonomy places the organism in Eukaryota, Viridiplantae, Streptophyta, Magnoliopsida, Rosales, Rosaceae.